GUGAAUUAAACAUGCUUGGUGUCUUCGCUUCGGCAAGGCCCUUGCUUAAAUCACAUCCUAACACCUGCUGAACUGUAAGACGUAUGAUGAGGUCUUUGGCCAAGUCAUCGUCUGCCCAUUUUUAACAAACAAUUAAUGUAACAAACGUAGUCUUAUUAUAACCUAAUA
Molecule: unclassified non-coding RNA, 168 nt
Filed under: soil metagenome
Description: partial internal transcribed spacer 1
Source: RNAcentral